Vidua chalybeata is the source of this 771-nucleotide long non-coding RNA. RefSeq lists it as uncharacterized. NCBI's taxonomy places the organism in Eukaryota, Metazoa, Chordata, Aves, Passeriformes, Viduidae. The record is from RefSeq and is a predicted model, not a curated record. The transcript has 3 exons.
GGGCAGCCAGCCCUAAGCCCAGCCAGGCCAGGCCUGAGGGUUUCACACUGUCUAGGAAGUAGACCCUUUCCAAAGGCAUUCUGCUUGAUAAUAAACUGUUGGGUAUUUUUCCACUUUCAUCUAUUACUAUUAAUUUCCCAUUGCUGGAAGGGGAUUGUUGGAACACUUUAGAAGAGAUGACUUAUUGCAGUGUCCUCUGACAGGCUGCUGACCCAAAGUGCGGCCAUGAUGGAGCAUUUCACGACUGAGGCCCACUCUCUUGUGGCCCAUGAACAGCGCUCCAAAAGGAGGCCCUUGGAGCUCUCCUGGACCACAGCGGCUGCCAGCAGCAACCUCCCUCUGAGUGGGGCCUCUCAGAGCCAGCGAGCUCUCAAGUUUGCUGCACUGGCCGGAUGACUGAUCAACAAUGGAUCCUGGGCCAAUAGCCCCACUCCUGGAGGCUCCAGUUGAACUCCUCUUAAGCUUGAGUGCUGUUAAGCUUUUAGGCCGUAUUCCCUUUUAUCUUUGUCCUUUCUAUCCCCUUCUCAAACACACCUAAACACAGGCACCCACACACACGUACACACACACAGAUAGUUCACAGUACAUUUCUCGAUUGAUUGCAUUUUGUUUGUUGCUUUUUUUUCCUUGUUGUGCCUUAAGCAACUAGUAAGUAGGAGUGUGAAUGCUGCCAUCGAGUUUUGUUGAGCUGUUGCUCAAUAUUCAAUCUGCUUUUUACUGAACUUUGCUGGAGAAUUUUUAAGUAAUAAGUAAUCUCAGACACUUGUUCAU